RNAcentral lists this ribosomal RNA (440 nucleotides) under uncultured bacterium. Its description in RNAcentral is "partial 16S ribosomal RNA". It matches the Rfam family "Bacterial small subunit ribosomal RNA", at positions 338 to 795 of the family's 1533-position model. The record is from RNAcentral.
CCUACGGGAGGCUGCAGUAGGGAAUAUUGCUCAAUGGGGGAAACCCUGAAGCAGCAACGCCGCGUGGAGGAUGAAGGUUUUCGGAUUGUAAACUCCUUUUGUUAGAGAAGAUAAUGACGGUAUCUAACGAAUAAGCACCGGCUAACUCCGUGCCAGCAGCCGCGGUAAUACGGAGGGUGCAAGCGUUACUCGGAAUCACUGGGCGUAAAGAGCGCGUAGGCGGGAUAGCAAGUCAGAUGUGAAAUCCUAUGGCUUAACCAUAGAACUGCAUUUGAAACUGUUAUUCUAGAGUAUGGGAGAGGUAGGUGGAAUUCUUGGUGUAGGGGUAAAAUCCGUAGAGAUCAAGAGGAAUACUCAGUGCGAAGGCGACCUGCUAGAACAUAACUGACGCUGAUGCGCGAAAGCGUGGGUAGCAAACAGGAUUAGAUACCCUUGUAGUC